Molecule: ribosomal RNA, 497 nt
Filed under: uncultured bacterium
Lineage: Bacteria
Description: partial 16S ribosomal RNA
Rfam family: Bacterial small subunit ribosomal RNA
Source: RNAcentral
GAUGAACGCUGGCGGCGUGCCUAAUACAUGCAAGUCGAGCGAACAGACGAGGCGCUUGCUCCUCUGACGUUAGCGGCGGACGGGUGAGUCACACGUGGAUAACCUCCCUAUCAGACUGGGAUCAUUUCGGGAAACCGGCGCUAAUACCGGAUAAUAUCUUGAACCGCAUUGUUCAAUAGUGAAAGACGGCUUUUCUGUCUCUUCUAGCUGGAUCCGCGCCGCAUUAUCUAGUUGUUAAGGUAACGGCUUACCAAGGCGACGAUGCGUAGCCGACCUGAGAGGGUGAUAGGCCACACUGGAACUGAGACACGGUCAAGACGCCUACGGGAGGCAGCAGUAGGGAAUGGGCGGCAAUGGGCGAAAGCUUGACGGAGCAACGCCGAGUGAGUGAUGAAGGUCUUGGGAUCGUAAAACUCUGUUAUUAGGGAAGAACAAAUGUGGAAGUAACUAUGCACGUAGUGACGGUACCGAAUCAGAAAGCAACGGCUAACUACGUG